Molecule: long non-coding RNA, 1117 nt
Filed under: Homo sapiens (human)
Lineage: Eukaryota; Metazoa; Chordata; Mammalia; Primates; Hominidae
Description: HSALNT0074876
Source: RNAcentral
UCUAAGGGAAGAAUCAUGGGAAAGAGGCGCAAAAUGUGAGGAGUGGGCCAGAGUAUAAAGUCCUAGGAUCAAGGUUAAACGUCACACUUGACCUUCAUAGUGCCCACUUGGGUCUCUUCCAAGUGUACCUUCCUUUCUUUCCUGCUCUAAAGCUUUUUAAUACACUUCUACUCCUGCUCUGAAACUUGCCUUGGUCUCUUUUUCUGCCUUAUGCCCCUCAGUCAAAUUCUUCUGAGAAGGCAAGAACUGAGGUUGCUGCAGACCAGUAUGGAUUCGCCCCCCGGUAACUCAGAUACUUUCCAUCCCUAACAUGUCUACCAUUAUCUGUCCACAAAACCUCUGGAAUCCUUCAUAACUACAACCCUUGCCCUGAGAAAUUCCUCUUGUUUAUCCAUCUUCCCUCUUUCCCAACCUCAGUCCUUCUCUCUAGGAUCUGAAUCCUAAAUAGUCUCUCUGUCAGUUUAAUGUCUGAGAAAUCAGUUGGUGCAAUACUAUCUAGGCACAAACUCUGCCUUCCCAGGCUAUAAUCCUAAACUCCAUUGUCAUAACAAAGCAAGCUGCCCAUGAAGGAGCAUGGGACCACAUACUUACAUCUUAAGAAAGAAAAUCAGAGACAGAAUGUUGCUGUGCCACCUAGGCUGGAGUGCAGUGGCACAAUCACAGCGGACUGCAGCCUCAAAAUCCUGGCUCAAGCACUCCUCUUACCUCAGCCUCAUAAGUAGCUGGGACUGCAGAAGACUUGUGUGGGAGACCAGAAUAUGCCUUACCAUAGCAUUAAGGACUGUUGAGCUGAAGGCAUUUAAGAAGAAACAGAUACAGCAGAGCUCUCUGCCCUCCCUCUAUUUGCCUGAAAGCAGGACAUAGAUUUAUAAACACAAAAGGCUCCAAGAAAUGGAAUUUUAUUAAAAGAUGGAAGAGGAGGAUAUUUGAGAGAAGGGGAACUACCUAAUACUGAAAACUAAUACAGUCCAGGAUACAUAGAAGAUGAUCAAUAACACUUAUUCAAUCUAAAUUACCCUAUCAGCAAGUGGAGAAUUCUCUCUCGGGAGUGCUGUUUUCUUUCCUGCCAGUCAGCUCUGUCAGGUUGAAUAGAAAGCGAUAAAUAAAGAGGAAAAGA